AUAGGCCGCCUACCAGUUACUAGUUCAACAAGUAACACACCAAAUGAAUAAACAUCACUCUUCUCGGUCAGUUGAUAAGUCUUCAGGUAUUCUGGAUCCAAGUAGCCAGCUGUUCCUUUAACUUGAGUGGACACAUGGGUGGCACCUGAAUCAGUGUCUGCUCCCAUUCUAGCAAAACCAAAAUCAGCUACCUUGGCUCUAAAUUUUUCAGUGAGGAGAAUGUUGGAUGACUUUAUGUCCCUGUGAAUAAUCGGGUGAUCUGUGUACAUGUGAAGAUAGGUGACUGCAUGAGCCACAUCAAUUGCAAUAUCUAGGCGCACAGCAAGCUCAAGAACGUGUCCAUGCACGCAAUCCAAGUGUUCCCUGAGCGUUCCAUUAGGAACAUACUCCACGACAACAAUUCUUUCUUGUUCAUUUUGCAAAAAUCCAUAGAACUUUACUAGAUUCAAGUGCUCCACUUGUGCAAGCGUUCGAAUCUCACUCUGAAAUUCUACACCUAAAUGCUUAUCGUAUAUAAUCUUCUUGGCACGUUUGAUUGCAACAAGGGUUCCAUCUUCAAGUCUCCCCUUGUAUACUGUCCCAUAGCCACCUUGUCCAAUCUUGAAGGAUGGGGAAAAGUUCCUUGUAGCUUUGUAGAUUUCCUCCAUGGUGAAUCUUACACUCCCUGGUUCUCUUCCAUGAGUGGAAUUCUGUGGACUGCCAUAGAUACCUCGACCUGAAGUUCGCCUUCUGUCUCUGUUGGAUCCCGUUGAUACAACAGAGGGAGGUUUGAACUCUUCAGAGUCGCCGAAAUUCUUGGAGUCGGUGGUCUCAGGCGGUGUAAAGCAGGCAACGAAUAAACCAGCCACCGAUUUUGCAGCGACCACCAGCGGGUUCCCCUUCCUGACAGUGGAGACGUCAGAAUAUGAGGAAGUCGGUGAGUAACGGAAGCCGUCGGGCAUUGAACUUGUACCGGACUCAGUGUUCCGGUAGCCGUAGACCGAGUGCGGAUUUUUCAUUGUUAGCAGCGAGAGAGAAUGUAUUUCGAAAUGGCGGGUAGUUGUAUGAGAGGAGAGGAGAAAAAAAAGAG
RNAcentral lists this unclassified non-coding RNA (1069 nucleotides) under Hevea brasiliensis (rubber tree). The record is from RNAcentral. Lineage: Eukaryota; Viridiplantae; Streptophyta; Magnoliopsida; Malpighiales; Euphorbiaceae.